GACGAACGCUGGCGGCGUGCCUAAUACAUGCAAGUAGGACGCAGUUGCGAACGGGUGAGUAACGCGUAGGUAACUACCUAUUAGAGGGGGAUAACUAUUGGAAACGAUAGCUAAUACCGCAUACUAGUAGAUGGACCUGCGUUGUAUUAGCUAGUAGGUAGGGUAAUGGCCUACCUAGGCAACGAUACAUAGCCGACCUGGGAGGGGUAUCGGCCACACUGGGAACGAGACACGGGCCAUACUCCUACGGGAGGCAGCAGUAGGGGAUGUUCGGGAAUUGGGGGAAUCCUGACCGAGCAGAGCCGCGUGAGUGACGAAGGUUUUCGGGUCUUAAAGCUUUGUUGUUAAGGAAGCGGUACUUAACCAGAAAGGGACGGCUAACUACGUGCCAGCAGCCGCGGUAAUAC
This 407-nucleotide ribosomal RNA is filed under the name uncultured bacterium. RNAcentral describes it as "partial 16S ribosomal RNA". It matches the Rfam family "Bacterial small subunit ribosomal RNA", at positions 28 to 526 of the family's 1533-position model. The record is from RNAcentral.